This 265-nucleotide long non-coding RNA is filed under the name Lathyrus oleraceus (garden pea). RNAcentral describes it as "Pisum sativum (pea) long non-coding RNA (PSAT_LNC038671)". The record is from RNAcentral. Lineage: Eukaryota; Viridiplantae; Streptophyta; Magnoliopsida; Fabales; Fabaceae.
AGCGUUGAGGGAGUGUUGAGCCCUAUAUCCACGCCAUGCUUUUAUGCACGUUGAAGACCUUUUUGGCAGCGGAAGCGGUUACUCAAGCAUAUAUAAAUAGCCACUUGCAAAACCAAAAAGGGUUCCGAAGCUUUUCCACAUUUUUUCCUUUGCCGUUUUCGCUUUUGCACAUUUUCUUUUCCAGCAACUUAAGCAGUAUUGUUUCUUUAUUAUUUUUACGAGUUCUACACUAUCUCCCUUGCAAUUUCUAUUUUCCUUUUUCCUC